GUUAAGAGUUCUCAAAAUUAAGUACACUGACAUGAAACUUCUGCCUGGGGACCGUCUCUUUGGGAUUUUGUUUUUAUAGGUUGUCCUUAAUGACCUGGAAUUGUUAUAACAGCUGUCAACUGAGGUAAGCUUCACAGAAGGGGAGCUGCCCUUACCUCCAGAGAGGAGCUUUUAAUUUCCUAUUUUUGGAAAUAACAGAAAGCACAGAGGACUCUUCUGAAAGGGAAACAACAGGCCACCCCAAGGCACUGGGAGGAGAACAGACCUGGUGCUAAACGGGGAUAUUUGAGAGCAAGUCCUCUGAGAAGCAGAGACAGCAUCAGCCUGCUCUUGUCUUCUGUAAUUAAUGGGGAGUCCUUGGAUCUUUGUAUAAGACCCUUUAAUCUAAGGGUUGCUAAAUGUUUUACAAACAUUAAUUAAUUCAAUUAGACUUUGCACCACCACCUUGAGGCAGGUAAUUCCUCUUUGGGAUAUCGCAUCUUUGCUUGCUACCACAGACUAUUUUAGAGCAGAUUAGGAUAAUUAAGGUAAAGCCUUGAGUUUAGAUAAAGUUCUAUAACUAAAGGUCUCCAGUACUUUACAAAUAGCAGAUUUGUGUAAUGAGGACUGAGGAGGAAGAUUGAGCCAGCUUAUUGCCAGUGAUGACAAGGCAGAGAUAUUGCACUUGUUUCAGGUUCCUCUCCAUGGUAAAGACACAUGACCUUGAAUAGCUCUUUGUGACCUCUUUAUGACUCAGUUCCUACAGCUUUCAAAUGGGGGCAAUGAUAUUACUCACCUCCCUACUUCACAGAGAUGUUGCAAAAAAUAAUAUUUGUAAUAUGCUGUGAGUUCUCAGAUGAAAGAUGGAAAUUAACAUAUAAUGAAACAUUAUUACUGUUUAUCAUCACACAAUCUAAGUGGGCCAGACAAGUGAAGCAUCAGCAUCCCCGCGGUCCUGGCAGAGAAACCGGUCCUGCCAUUAUUUCCAUUGAACAUCUAUUCUAGACACUCACAGAGGUUGAGAACUGCUCAGAGCAACAGGCAUGCUCCUAAGAUAAUCAAAAGCAAACUGAGAUGCCAGAUCAGCAGAGGUAGCUAAGUAUUUAUCCUUUUUAUUUUCCAUUCCCAUUCUUUUUUGGGAGAGAGUAUUUGAGAAAAAAUGAGUUCAGGGAGAGAAUCAGAGAAUGAAUGAAGGAUCUUUUCCUCUUGGACAUUCCUCUCAAUUCUAAGAUCUGGGCAUACUGAAGUUAAUCAAACUCAUGUUAAGUGAAUGAGUGAAUGGAAUCCUUCAGGAAAAUGUCAAGAUGAGAAUUCAGACCACACCAAAUCCUCAUCUGCCAUUCUUACUAUGCCACAUCCGAACCUGUGAGGCACAUGCAGUGUAGAAUAGAAAUACUGAACAGGCACAAUUAAGGAAAGAGGGUGAAUUCAAGAAUAACUUUUCAAACAAUGUUCCAAAGAGAAAUAGAAGACUAAACUUAGAAGGUUCAAGAAAACUGUCUACAUAAAUACGGUAUUACAUAGAAGGACCGAGUCGCUUUGGCACCUGAUUCGUAUAAUAUGAGAGCACAGGCUAAUCCGGAACAAUAGGGAUAUUUAUGGAGUUCAGUUUGCUUUCCAUGUUAUUGUCACUCUGUGCACUAAGCUCAGACUCAGACCUGGCAUUCGGGACCUCCAUGCAUGGCGUUGGUCCAUAUUUCCCUGCCACAUGUCACUCCCCUCUUCUUCCUUCAUGCAGCCCGUGCUGCAGUGGGGCUGAUGGGCUUGCUCUGAACAUGACCAUGUGUUUCUCCCUCUGAUGAUUCCCUUGCUUGAGAUGCUCUUUCCUGUGGCCUUACUCUUUGUCCGAGCCUCAGCAUCUCCACCUGUUGAAGCCUUUUUUGUCUCUUUCCAAGGCCUUUCUCAAAAUGCUUCCUUCACAAAGAGGCUUUUCUGGUCAUAUAAAUGCAAACCUCUUUGCAGAGCACUUUGAAUGUGCCAAAUAAAUGUGUAGAAGAGGCAUUAGUCCAGUAACUAGGAUCAUGGAUUGGGAGAGCUGCAUUGCCUGGGUCCGAAUACUCAUUCUGUCACUUACUAAUGGUUUGAAUGUAGGCAAAUUACUUAAUGUCUGCGCCUGUGUUUCCUUGUCCGUCAAAUAAGAAUGACCAGAAUGGUAUCAACCACAGAGGCUUUUGUCAGGAUCGUGUGCAACAGUGAGUGUCAACUGUGUAGAAUUGUGCCUCAUAUCUGGAAGUGUUCUGUAAAUGCUCUCUUUGCUUUCCCACACAACCUAGCCCUGUUUCUGGAUAUGGUUAUGUUUGUAGACCCAAAGCACUAAGUGAGGGUGAGUGCUGUCCAUAAGCAGUGUUGCCAUAGAUAAAAUCUAGAUGUUUACCACUAGAACUCCCAAGGAACCUGAGGAAACUCUCUCACUACUGGAGUCCUCAGCUCUACUGAACCAGGUUUGUGGAAAAUAAUUUUCCAUGGACACCUGAUUUUUAUAAAAGCCUUUUUAUGCUUAUUCUAUAAACCCACUAUUCUACUUACAUAUGUAUAUUAAAAAUAUAUACAUGAACAUAUGCACCAAAUGACAUAUGUAAAAUUUAUUUGUAUAUCAGUCUUUCUUGUAUAAACAAAAACCGGAAACAAUCCAAAAGUCCAUCAAUAGAAAAAUGUAAAAAUAAACCAUGUUGUAUUCGUAUGAUGGCAACAGAAUUUAAGAUUUAAAAAAAAUAGUUGGAGCUCAUGGAUAUACUGUGAAGUAAAAAAGCUAGAUACAAAAGAAAAAAGCUGGAUACAGAAGAAAACAUACUAUAUGGCUUUGUAAAAUAUUCCAAAACAAGAAAACAGAACUGUGGUGUUCAAAGUCUGCGUGUUAGUUACUCUUCAUGGGGAAGGUAGAGGUGAUAAUUGGAAAGGGUCUAAUGGGGGUUUUCAGUGUUCUUGUAAUAUCCUGCUUCUUGAUCAGGGUGAUGGCUACAAAUAUGUUCUCUUUGUGGUAAUAUAUUGAGUUACAUAUGUAGUUUUGUGCACUUUUGUGUGUGUAUCAUAUUUUACUUAAAAUGUCAAAAGUAAAAAAAAAAAAAAUCAAAUUGAUUCCAAAGGAAUUUAUGCCAAUUUUUGUAAAUUAAGGUAAAAUGAAAUGGAAAAUAGUA
Symphalangus syndactylus (siamang) is the source of this 3113-nucleotide long non-coding RNA. RefSeq lists it as uncharacterized. Lineage: Eukaryota; Metazoa; Chordata; Mammalia; Primates; Hylobatidae. The record is from RefSeq and is a predicted model, not a curated record.